UACGGAGGGUGCGAGCGUUGUUCGGAAUCACUGGGCGUAAAGCGCGUGUAGGCGGCCUUUUAAGUCCGAUGUGAAAGCCCGGGGCUCACCCCCGGAAGUGCAUUGGAUACUGAUUGGCUGGAGUACCGGAGAGGAGGGUGGAAUUCCUGGUGUAGCGGUGAAAUGCGUAGAUAUCAGGAGGAACACCUGUGGCGAAGGCGGCCCUCUGGACGGAUACUGACGCUGAGACGCGAAAGCGUGGGGAGCAAACAGG
RNAcentral lists this ribosomal RNA (253 nucleotides) under uncultured bacterium. Its description in RNAcentral is "partial 16S ribosomal RNA". It matches the Rfam family "Bacterial small subunit ribosomal RNA", at positions 524 to 776 of the family's 1533-position model. The record is from RNAcentral.